GAUGAAGAACGCAGUGAAAUGCGAUACGUAAUGUGAAUUGCAAAUUCAGUGAAUCAUCGAGUCUUUGAACGCACAUUGCGCCCCCUGGUAUUCCGGGGGGCAUGCCUGUCCGAGCGUCAUUGCUGCCCUCAAGCACGGCUUGUGUGUUGGGCCCCGUCCUCCGAUCCCGGGGGACGGGCCCGAAAGGCAGCGGCGGCACCGCGUCCGGUCCUCGAGCGUAUGGGGCUUUGUCACCCGCUCUGUAGGCCCGGCCGGCGCCUGCCGAUCAACCCAAAUUUUUUAUCCAGGUUGACCUCGGAUCAGGUAGGGAUACCCGCUGAACUUAAGCAUAUCAAUAAGCGGAGGA
This 346-nucleotide unclassified non-coding RNA is filed under the name soil metagenome. RNAcentral describes it as "partial contains 5.8S ribosomal RNA, internal transcribed spacer 2, and large subunit ribosomal RNA". The stretch from base 1 to 119 matches the Rfam family "5.8S ribosomal RNA", at positions 35 to 154 of the family's 154-position model. The record is from RNAcentral.